AGUGAACGCUGGCGGUAGGCCUAACACAUGCAAGUCGAACGGCAGCACAGUAAGAGCUUGCUCUUACGGGUGGCGAGUGGCGGACGGGUGAGGAAUACAUCGGAAUCUACUUUUUCGUGGGGGAUAACGUAGGGAAACUUACGCUAAUACCGCAUACGACCUACGGGUGAAAGCAGGGGAUCUUCGGACCUUGCGCGAUUGAAUGAGCCGAUGUCGGAUUAGCUAGUUGGCGGGGUAAAGGCCCACCAAGGCGACGAUCCGUAGCUGGUCUGAGAGGAUGAUCAGCCACACUGGAACUGAGACACGGUCCAGACUCCUACGGGAGGCAGCAGGGGGGAAUAUUGGACAAUGGGCGCAAGCCUGAGCCAGCCAUACCGCGUGGGUGAAGAAGGCCUUCGGGUUGUAAAGCCCUUUUGUUGGGAAAGAAAAGCAGCAGGUUAAUACCCCGCUGUUCUGACGGUACCCAAAGAAUAAGCACCGGCUAACUGCGU
RNAcentral lists this ribosomal RNA (491 nucleotides) under uncultured bacterium. RNAcentral's name for it is "partial 16S ribosomal RNA". It matches the Rfam family "Bacterial small subunit ribosomal RNA", at positions 29 to 506 of the family's 1533-position model. The record is from RNAcentral.